RNAcentral lists this ribosomal RNA (253 nucleotides) under uncultured bacterium. RNAcentral's name for it is "partial 16S ribosomal RNA". It matches the Rfam family "Bacterial small subunit ribosomal RNA", at positions 524 to 776 of the family's 1533-position model. The record is from RNAcentral.
UACGUAGGGGGCUAGCGUUGUCCGGAAUCAUUGGGCGUAAAGCGCACGUAGGCGGCUUUGUAAGUUAGAGGUGAAAGCCCGGGGCUCAACCUCGGAAUUGCCUUUGAUACUGCAUCGCUUGAAUCCAAGAGAGGUGAGUGGAAUUCCGAGUGUAGAGGUGAAAUUCGUAGAUAUUCGGAAGAACACCAGUGGCGAAGGCGGCUCACUGGCUUGGUAUUGACGCUGAGGUGCGAAAGCGUGGGGAGCAAACAGG